Molecule: ribosomal RNA, 253 nt
Filed under: uncultured bacterium
Lineage: Bacteria
Description: partial 16S ribosomal RNA
Rfam family: Bacterial small subunit ribosomal RNA
Source: RNAcentral
UACGUAGGGUGCUAGCGUUGUUCGGAAUCACUGGGCGUAAAGGGCGUGUAGGCGGUCUGUUAAGUCUGAUGUGAAAUCCCCUCGCUCAACGAGGGAACUGCGUCGGAUACUGGCAGACUCGAGUACCGGAGAGGAAGGUGGAAUUCCCGGUGUAGCGGUGAAAUGCGUAGAUAUCAGGAGGAACACCGGUGGCGAAGGCGGGUCUCUGGGCCGACACUGACACUGAGGAGCGAAAGCGUGGGGAGCGAACAGG